GGGGGAAAUAUAGGGAGGGGCAGCUAGAAUAAGACACAUGGAACAGUCAUAUGGAAACCUACUUCAGUUGAAGCUUUAUAAAUUACACACACACACACACACACACACACACACACACAGCAGAGCUAAGAAAUAUAAAAAGAUUUACUAAACAACAGGGCAUACAAAGUUGCAAUUAGAUAUUUAUGCCUAUCAAAUUAAAUUUCUGGUGCCAUGAAAGGGUGAUACUUAAUCCAGAAAAUUAAAUACCAACACCGAUAAAGACACUUCAAACUACAAUGGUGACCUGAAAGAGGACUUCUCAACUUUGUACCAGCCAGACCUGUACAACCAGCCAUUAUCUGAAUGGAUUAAGGACUUACACCAGGAGAUGGAACCCAGUGGCUAAAGGCCUGAUCGUAGAUAAUCUAUGGACCUGAAAGAAAGAUAAAUAUUAUUGUAUUGUUCAAGGGAUCUAACAAUGAAAUCAUUCCAGA
This is a non-coding RNA of Rattus norvegicus (Norway rat), 476 nucleotides long. The record is from RefSeq and is a predicted model, not a curated record. Lineage: Eukaryota; Metazoa; Chordata; Mammalia; Rodentia; Muridae.